RNAcentral lists this ribosomal RNA (416 nucleotides) under Panesthia sp. 1 DJGI-2006. RNAcentral describes it as "partial 12S ribosomal RNA". The record is from RNAcentral. Lineage: Eukaryota; Metazoa; Arthropoda; Insecta; Blattodea; Blaberidae.
GGAUUAGAUACCCUAUUAUUUUAGAUUUAAAAAUUUAAUUUGAGUAGUAUUAGUUAUGAUCUUUAAACUUAAAGAAUUUGGCGGUAUUUUAGUCUAGUUAGAGGAAUCUGUUCCAUUAUCGAUAAUCCACGUUGAACCUUACUCAGUAUUAUUUAAUAUGUAUAUCGCCGUUUAUUUGAAGAUCUUUUUAGGGUUAAAUUUUCUUUAGAUUAUAAUAAAUUUUAUUUCAGGUCAAGGUGCAGUUGAUAAUUGAGUGGUAAUGGAUUACAAUAUUUAUAAGGUAAACGGAUUAUGAUUUGAAAUUAUUUUAUAAAGGUGGAUUUGAUAGUAAUUAAUAAUUAGAUUUAUUUUUGUGAUUUUAGCUCUAAAAUGUGCACACAUCGCCCGUCACUCUCGUUAUUAAGAUGAGAUAAGUC